GCCAUGUUGCCAAAAAUGGAUGCUAAAACUGGAAGUGUUGCUGAUGAUGCACAAGGAAGACAAAUGUUUAGAACAAAACCUCAAAAUGUAUCUGCUAUUAAAGACCAAACUGUGAUAUUAAAAUGUGAAGUCAUGAAUCAAAGUGGAAGGAUGCAAUGGAGCAAAAAUGGUUUCGCUUUAGGUUAUGAUAAAUCAAUUCCUGGUUUUUCUCGUUAUGAAGUUGUUGGCAAUUUAAACCUUGGAGAAUACAAUCUUAUGAUAACAAAUGUGGAAUUACGUGAUGACACCGAAUACCAGUGUCAGGUGUUACCAACACCUGGUAAUCCACCUUUAAUGGCAUCAGCUUAUCUCACAGUUCAUAUCCCUCCUGAUGUUCCAAAAAUAGUUGGACACAAGAAUGCCUCCACUAUUGACAUCCCAUACACACAAGAUGAGAUAAAAUUAGAAUGUGUUGCACAUAACGGCCGUCCUGCUGCUCGCUUAGAGUGGUUCAAGGAUGGAGAGAAAAUCACGACAGGCAUUUCAUAUCGGACAGAGACAAAGCCUGGGGAGAAACUAUCAACAGCAAUAAGUGUUCUAACUUACAGACCCAAGUUUAAUUACAAUGAUGCUUUACUAAGUUGUCAAGCUUCAAACGAUGCUGUACAAGGACCUCCUCUUGAAACUUUCGUACAACUUAGUAUAUCUUUCCCACCAGGCGAACCUCACAUCAGCGGUUAUCACGAAGGUCAAGUAGUCCGCAUUAAUGAUACCUUGCACUUGAAAUGUGUUUCUGAAGGUGGUAAUCCUCCUGCACUUGUUAUCUGGUAUAAGAAUAACAAAGAAAUUGACCGGUCUUACUUCACCGAACAGAAUAAGGCAGAAAAUGACCUAACCUUAACUGUUGAAUCUUCUGAUAAUGAUGCUAUUUUCAAAUGUGAAGCAUCGAAUACUGCAACAGUGAAGCCAUUAGUUGCAUCUUUCAAGCUAACAGUGCACUUUCCUCCAAAGAAAGUAAAAAUCUCCGGUCACAGACUUGCAAAAGCCGGACAGACUGUGACAUUAAAAUGUGUCUCAACAAACAGUAAUCCGGCAGCAACGAUCACUUGGUUUGCAAGGGGAAGACAGCUUCCAGAUGAAAACACCCAAGUAAAGAGUUCACCUAAAGGAGGGUUUAUUUCAACAUCAAUAACCAAAGUUAACCUGACGGGCAAUGACAAUAAUGUUAUGUACACAUGUGUUGCCAAGAAUGAAUACGUCGUCGGUGGAACAUCUGAUUCAGUUACGUUAAGUGUUCUGUAUCCUCCUGCCAGUCCGACAAUUUCUGGUUACAACCCUGGUAGUGCUGUACACUCUGGUGAAUCUGCAAAGUUAACUUGCACAGCCAUUGGGGGAAACCCUUUAGCUUCCCUUAAAUGGUAUACAAGAGGUCGUCGUUUAGAUUCUGAUUACAAGAUAAUUGGUAACAUUGCUUCUGCUGACUUGAAUGUAAUUAUCAAGCCUGAAGAUAAUGGCGCCAUCUAUGUUUGCAAAGCUACAAAUAAUGCAACUGUCAGACCUUUACAGACACAAAUACGGCUAAAAGUCUUCUUUCCACCAGUGUCGGUAAACAUUACAACCAAACCAGAUCAAGCUAGAGCUGGACAGAAGUAUACCCUUACUUGCGAAUGUUCUUCGAGUAAUCCUGAAGCUGAAAUUAUCUGGUUACAUAAUAGCCAAAGGUUGCAGGGCAACAAUCUUGCUCUGAUGAAUGGCAGCAAUGGUGGGAAAAUAACCAUAAAUAUUUUGGAAAUUAUUCCUACACCUGAUGACCACAUGGCUGUUUAUGGAUGUCGAGCUAUAAAUCAUGCAGUGGAUAAAUCUGUUAACGACGGAAUUACUCUCGAUAUAUUAUUUAAACCAGUCUUCAAUACACUGAUACCCCACAAAAUCAGCAUCUUAGAAGAUGAAUGGAAAUCCGUGAAUUUUAGUGUAAGAGCGAAUCCGGAGAAAGUGAGGUUCAGCUUAUGGCGAGAUGGCCGUGUGUUGAAAUUACCUCGAAAUUUCCUUCUUGAUGAUGAUGGCCUCUUGAAUUUAACCAAAGUUAAGCAGAAAGACAGUGGGGAUUAUCAAAUAAAAGCAGUUAAUAAAGAAGGUGCCACAUUCUUAAACUUCACAGUUGAUAUACUCUAUGCUGCUAACAUCACACACAUUUCAACUCCUGUCAUCGAAGAUGAAGGAGGCAUUGCUUACUUGGAGUGUAUAGCUGAAGCGAACCCUAUGAGUGACAAUAUGGUUGGAUGGACAAGAGACAGCUACGAUAUGUCAAGAACUCGGCAGACUUACGAUAAAGGCAGCUCUUCUUUAACUGUCUACGAAUUGUCACGAACUGAUGCUGGAACUUUCACGUGUUCAGCAUAUAAUGGAUACGGCAAGGUCGUCACUCGAGUAGCUCAACUCAUAGUUAAGUAUCCACCACAAAUAGACCAAUCACGGCAAUAUGCAAAAGCAGCCAGUGACAAAGGAGGAACAGCAACUUUAAUCUGUAAAGCAGAUGGAGCCCCUCUCAUAACAUUUUCCUGGUCAAAGGGAAGUGCUGAACUGAAAAAUUCUGAUAAAUACAACAUAAAAGGCACAAAAGAUGGGGAUGUUUACUACACAAGUUUACUUGAGAUUUCCAAUGUUACGAAAGAGGACUAUGGCAAAUAUCUGUGUAAGGCUAAAAAUGUUGAAGGAUCUGCAGAAUCAGAGAUAUUAUUGGAUGGUACAAGUAAACCUGAUCCACCAUACAACAUAAAGUUUGUCAAUGCCACACACAAUAGUCUCACUCUCACUUGGCAGCCAGGUUUCAAUGGAGGCAUGACACAAUCCUUUCGGGUUCGUUAUCGACCAAAAGGAACAACGAACUACAAAUAUGUUGAUGUUGGCCCUGGAUCAAAUGUCUAUUUGCUUACUGGUCUAGAAAGAGGGCAAGAAUAUGAAAUAACUAUGCUUGCAUUCAAUAAACUCGGAGAAAGCCAAUACCAAAGGAAAGAAUUCAUAGCAAAAACUUCUCAUUUAAACCCACCUGAGGAGCAUGAUGCAGCACCGCCUCAAGAUUCCGAUGACAUGCCACUCAUAAUAAUUCUUGUUGUUUGCAUCGUUGGCAUCUUCCUUUUAGCACUCAAUAUUGGUCUCAUCAUGUUCUUUAUCCGCAGGAAAAGGAAACGCCUAGAAAGACACCUUGAGUGGUAUGCCCUUCACAGCUCCAACCAUAGUGGAACAAAUGAGACGAUACCUAGACAACGAGACGGCAGCGAUACAACAAGUCAUACGAAUACAUUUGAGCUUUUUGGCUCAACGAAAGAAAGUCAUCUUUAUCCCAUGUCUCCAUCAGAGGAUGCUCGAAGCUAUGACACAUAUGAUAAAAGUUUAGACGAAUUUUCUGAUGAAUGCAGUAAAAACUAUGAGUUUUUGCCAUUUCAGGAUGAAGAUAUGAAGCGGGUUUUUUUACCUCCUCAUGAUUAUUCUGAUAGACCAUACACACCAUGUAAACAAGAUUCACCUCAUGUAGAACCUAAAAGAAUAUAUAUGGACUCACCAAAUCGGCAAAUUGCAUAUUUAGAUGAUUCAGACACAAGAUUACCAAAUGAAGAAUGGAAUGGUAGGGGACUACCUUGAACGUGCACCCAGCCGUCCAUGCAGCCGAGCCGUCACCUACCAGUGGAACACACAAACGCAAUCAUCUGUUUGACAUCUUCACUUAAUAAUCACUGGAAAUAUACAGUCCAAGUGUACCACUUUCUCCCAGCAUCGUCCCUAACCCCUGCUAUGAAAGCCCUUCUCAGUAUCGCAG
This 3793-nucleotide unclassified non-coding RNA is filed under the name Octopus sinensis (East Asian common octopus). Its description in RNAcentral is "nephrin-like, transcript variant X3". Lineage: Eukaryota; Metazoa; Mollusca; Cephalopoda; Octopoda; Octopodidae. The record is from RNAcentral.